AGUAGGGAAUAUUGGACAAUGGGGGCAACCCUGAUCCAGCCAUGCCGCGUGAGUGAUGAAGGCCUUCGGGUUGUAAAGCUCUUUAGUCAGGGAAGAUAAUGACGGUACCUGAAGAAUAAGCCCCGGCUAACUCCGUGCCAGCAGCCGCGGUAAGACGGAGGGGGCUAGCGUUGUUCGGAAUCACUGGGCGUAAAGGGCGCGUAGGCGGCCUAGCAAGUCAGGCGUGAAAUCCCGGGGCUUAACCUCGGAACUGCGCUUGAAACUGCAAGGCUUGAGUCUCGGAGAGGAUGGUGGAAUUCCUAGUGUAGAGGUGAAAUUCGUAGAUAUUAGGAGGAACACCGAUGGCGAAGGCAGCCAUCUGGACGAGUACUGACGCUGAGGCGCGAAAGCGUGGGGAGCAAA
RNAcentral lists this ribosomal RNA (402 nucleotides) under uncultured Lacibacterium sp. RNAcentral's name for it is "bacterial SSU rRNA". It matches the Rfam family "Bacterial small subunit ribosomal RNA", at positions 353 to 772 of the family's 1533-position model. The record is from RNAcentral. Lineage: Bacteria; Pseudomonadati; Pseudomonadota; Alphaproteobacteria; Rhodospirillales; Rhodospirillaceae.